AGUGAACGCUGGCGGUAGGCCUAACACAUGCGAGUCGAACGGCAGCACAGUAAGAGCUUGCUCUUACGGGUGGCGAGUGGCGGACGGGUGAGGAAUACAUCGGAAUCUACUUUUUCGUGGGGGAUAACGUAGGGAAACUUACGCUAAUACCGCAUACGACCUACGGGUGAAAGCAGGGGAUCUUCGGACCUUGCGCGAUUGAAUGAGCCGAUGUCGGAUUAGCUAGUUGGCGGGGUAAAGGCCCACCAAGGCGACGAUCCGUAGCUGGUCUGAGAGGAUGAUCAGCCACACUGGAACUGAGACACGGUCCAGACUCCUACGGGAGGCAGCAGUGGGGAAUAUUGGACAAUGGGCGCAAGCCUGAUCCAGCCAUACCGCGUGGGUGAAGAAGGCCUCGGGUUGUAAAGCCCUUUUGUUGGGAAAGAAAAGCAGCAGGUUAAUACCCCGCUGUUCUGACGGUACCCAAAGAAUAAGCACCGGCUAACUUCGUG
This 491-nucleotide ribosomal RNA is filed under the name uncultured bacterium. Its description in RNAcentral is "partial 16S ribosomal RNA". It matches the Rfam family "Bacterial small subunit ribosomal RNA", at positions 29 to 507 of the family's 1533-position model. The record is from RNAcentral.